Molecule: ribosomal RNA, 468 nt
Filed under: uncultured bacterium
Lineage: Bacteria
Description: partial 16S ribosomal RNA
Rfam family: Bacterial small subunit ribosomal RNA
Source: RNAcentral
GACGAACGCUGGCGGCGUGCUUAACACAUGCAAGUCGAACGGAAAGGCCCUGCUUUUGUGGGGUGCUCGAGUGGCGAACGGGUGAGUAACACGUGAGUAACCUGCCCUUGACUUUGGGAUAACUUCAGGAAACUGGGGCUAAUACCGGAUAGGAGCUCCUGCUGCAUGGUGGGGGUUGGAAAGUUUCGGCGGUUGGGGAUGGACUCGCGGCUUAUCAGCUUGUUGGUGGGGUAGUGGCUUACCAAGGCUUUGACGGGUAGCCGGCCUGAGAGGGUGACCGGCCACAUGGGGAUGGAGAUCCGCCCCGCCCUCCUACGGGGGGCAGCGGGGGGGAUUAUUGCACAAUGGGCGGAGGCCUGAUGCAGCACCGCCGCGUGGGGGAUGACGGCUUUCGGUUUGUAACCCGUUUUCCCCGGGGCCGAAGCGGGGGUGACGGUAGUGGGUAAAGAAGCCCCGGCUAACUACGUC